Molecule: transfer RNA, 72 nt
Filed under: Treponema sp.
Lineage: Bacteria; Pseudomonadati; Spirochaetota; Spirochaetia; Treponematales; Treponemataceae
Also listed under: 1 other name
Description: tRNA-Glu
Rfam family: tRNA
About the family: Transfer RNA (tRNA) molecules are approximately 80 nucleotides in length. Their secondary structure includes four short double-helical elements and three loops (D, anti-codon, and T loops). Further hydrogen bonds mediate the characteristic L-shaped molecular structure. tRNAs have two regions of fundamental functional importance: the anti-codon, which is responsible for specific mRNA codon recognition, and the 3' end, to which the tRNAs corresponding amino acid is attached (by aminoacyl-tRNA synthetases). tRNAs cope with the degeneracy of the genetic code in two manners: having more than one tRNA (with a specific anti-codon) for a particular amino acid; and 'wobble' base-pairing, i.e. permitting non-standard base-pairing at the 3rd anti-codon position.
Source: RNAcentral
GGUUGGUUCGUCUAACGGUUAGGACGAGAGAUUCUCAAUCUCUAAACACGGGUUCGAUUCCCGUACCGACUA